Long non-coding RNA from Triticum aestivum (bread wheat), 1447 nucleotides. RefSeq lists it as uncharacterized. The transcript is spliced from 2 exons. The record is from RefSeq and is a predicted model, not a curated record. Lineage: Eukaryota; Viridiplantae; Streptophyta; Magnoliopsida; Poales; Poaceae.
UCCUAACUACUCCCUCGCAAUUUUCUCCACCUCUCCUGAUCGUGUAGUCCACACCCGUCCUCAUUCCCCCCAUCUCUCCCGAGCCGGCGCCUGCACGUUUUCCUCUCCCAUCCAUCCCUCUCACCUCCCCCCGCCUCUCUCCAACGAUCUCUCGACCGUCGCGGCAGAGCCGGCACCUAACUAGCCCACCUCUACCUCAACGUGUGGGCAGAGCCGGCGCGCGCCUACCAUAGAUCCGAUGGCCUUGAGCUCCACCAUCACCAACAGGGGCGGCAAUGACGGAGGACUGACGGGAUCUGGUGGCCUGAGCACGAUGGUAUCCAUGAGUAGAGGUCGGCCAUCAGAUCUGGUGUAGGCUCAUCUCGGGCCGGCAGCCACGCAGAUUCGGUUGUACGAACUUCUCGCAGCUCACACGGUAGCUGACCUCGAGCUUGACUAGUGAUCGGAGUUGGACUAUGCAGAGUUGGCACCCCUGCAUUGACGACUUGGACGUCCGUCGUCGUCGAGCUCCAGCAAACUUCAUCUUCCUCUGUGGUGAGCUAGACAAUGUCGACUGCACGCUUGCCGACAGUGGCCUCAACGACGGAGCCAUCAUGGUAACUGGUAAGAAUCUCUUUGAUGUGCAUAGUUGGCCUACAUUCUCUCAUAGCGGUUAGUGUGAAUGCCACUCUUGUUGAUUUUUGUCCUCUGAAUUUGAAAAAUACAAGAACGUGUGUCACUUUGUUUGCUCACGUUUGGCACUGAGCCCGUAUCUUUGUGCUUAGAUUUGUAAUGAGCAUUUAGGUGUACUCACGUUUGAAAGGUGCUACUGCAUAAGCAUUUCUGAUGGCUUUUAGCCACCGUCAAAUUAUUUUAGGUAGCCUGAAACUGUUGCUGAACAUGACAUUAUCUAUGACUUAGUAAGGGAGGGGGAAUCCUUGACCUGCAGAUGCAUGAGUUGAAGCGUACUUUAUAUACUAAUGUCAAAUAUCCUUCGAUUAUAAGAACUGUACUUGAACGUCCAUACUGCAAUAACUAUACUCUGAACGCAUACUAUAGUAAGGGAACUUGUGCUUAGGUGCCAUUUUUCUUGUGGGCAUCUGGCAUCUCUACCGUAUGAGCUAAUUUUUAAUGUAUAUACAUAUGAUUUUUUUGCUGCAGGUUUUGCCAUAGCUUGUUAAUCAUAUUAAUAUUCACCUGUGCAUGCUGACCUCUUCAACUUUCAUUAUUUUGUUGACAUAUUUGUGUUGUUCCCUAAUGCGGAUCAUGAAUUAUGGUGAAACUGUAGCAAGUUGAUGUCUUUUGAAGAAGUGUAUUUCUGAAGCUUAGUGUGAAGACUUCACAAUCUUAUUUUGUUUCUCUAGAUAAUAUAUACAAUGUAACUAGAAGCUAGUUAUAUUCUCAUUUACUUGUUCCAUUGUCUCAGAAUUUCAAUGUAUUAAUGCAUUUUUCUAUUUUGUUUGUGUUA